GAUAGAUCUGAUAGAUCUGAUAGAUCUAUCACAUCGAUCAGAUAUAUCACAUCGAUCAUAAUCUAAAUUAUAUUCACUCCUAUCAACACUUUCUUCUUCUCUCGAUUCAUUUAUUAAAGAUAUAUUUUUACUUUCUGAAUAUAAAUGCCAUUUCAAUAUAAAUUGUAAAUUAACUUUAGUUAUAUUUUGUCUCUUUAUUUCUUCAUUUACAUUAUUUUUAUUUAUAUUCCACCAAAACCGAUCCAUCAUAUCAACAUCUAAGUAUACAUAAUUAUUAUUCAAUUCUAAUAUAUUAUUAAUAUAAUAACCAAAAUCAAAAAAUUUUAUUUUUCUUUUAUAAAAAUGAGGAUUUAAUUUACUUGACACUAGACCUAAUAUUUUACAUCUAUACUCUCUCAAAUCUAUUAGUGAUUCCCUAUAUUCAAAUGAAUCAAUAAUUGGAUGUGCAUAAUCAAUCCACUCUCCUAAAGCUAAUACACAUAAAAUUUUUUUACUUAAAAAACCGAUAGACAUUAAAUAAUAAACAGAUGCAGGUAAUUUCACACCUACUAUUUUUAUAAAAUCAUAUGGUACCAAUUUAACACUUUUAUUAUUAAAAGAAUAAUCACUUUCAUUAUUAUUUAAUGUAACAUUAUCAUCGUUUGUCCCUUUCGAUUCUUUUGUGCUUGUACCUGUAUUUGUACCUGCAUUUGUGCUUGUGAUUGUGUCUGUGGUUGUCGUUCCGUUGGUUUUUUUUUUAAUUUCAUCAGUAGAACUAUUUUGGGUCAUAUUUGUGUUUGUUCCUUUUUCAUCAGUAUCUACUAUGUUGGCACUGUCACUUUUGUUAGUUACAGUUAUAGCAGUUUCGGUACUUGCAGAAGUAGUAGUAGUUGCAGAAGUAGCAGUAGUAGUAGUAGUAGUAGUAGUAGUACCACUUUUAAUUUCUGUAUUACUAUCAUUAUCACAUACAUUCACUUGUUCGUUUUUUUCAUUUAUUUCAUUAACGUGUUCAGAAUUAUUUUCUUUUUUACUAUCGCUGAUAAUAUCAUUAUUAUAUUUAUUAAAAUUGUUUACUUCACUUUUUUUUUCACUUUUUUCUUUACAUUUUAAAAUACAUUCAUUUACAUUAUUAUCCAUUUUAUUUUCAUUUUCUAAUUUACCAUUUAAUAUGUUAGAAUCUUUUUUUUUAUCUUCAUUUUUGUCUUUUUUUUUAUUAUCAUUCCCAUUUCCCUGUGCAUUUUUUUGGACCUCCGUACUACUACUACUACUACUACUAACAGUAUUACUACUAACAGUAUUACUAUUAACAGUAUUACUAUUAACAGUAUUACUACUAAUAGUGUUACUACUAACAGUGUUACUAUUAUUAUAACUACUAUAAUUAUUAUUAACAUUUUUUUUUAUAAUACCAUCUGAUCCCCCUCCUAUAUCAGUUGUAUUUGUAUCCAAAUAAUCAGAAUGUAAUACAGUUGAUGAGGAAUUAAUGUUAUCAUCACAUAAAUAAAUAUCAGUUGUUCCAUUAGUUAAUAAAACA
RNAcentral lists this long non-coding RNA (1513 nucleotides) under Piliocolobus tephrosceles (Ugandan red Colobus). RNAcentral describes it as "lncRNA (ENSPTEG00000005954.1)". Lineage: Eukaryota; Metazoa; Chordata; Mammalia; Primates; Cercopithecidae. The record is from RNAcentral.